UACGUAGGCAGCAAGCGUUGUUCGGAGUUACUGGGCGUAAAGAGUGCGUAGGCGGUUCUCUAAGUUUGGUGUGAAAUCUCCCGGCUCAACUGGGAGGGUGCGCCGAAAACUGGAGGGCUUGAGUGUGGGAGAGGCAAGCGGAAUUCCUGGUGUAGCGGUGAAAUGCGUAGAUAUCAGGAGGAACACCUGUGGCGAAAGCGGCUCACUGGACCAUAACUGACGCUGAUGCACGAAAGCUAGGGGAGCAAGCAGG
Molecule: ribosomal RNA, 253 nt
Filed under: uncultured prokaryote
Description: partial 16S ribosomal RNA
Rfam family: Bacterial small subunit ribosomal RNA
Source: RNAcentral